AUUGAACGCUGGCGGCAUGCCUUACACAUGCAAGUCGAACGGCAGCACGGGAGCAAUCCUGGUGGCGAGUGGCGAACGGGUGAGUAAUAUAUCGGAACGUGCCCAGUCGUGGGGGAUAACGCAGCGAAAGUUGUGCUAAUACCGCAUACGAUCUAUGGAUGAAAGCGGGGGAUCGCAAGACCUCGCGCGAUUGGAGCGGCCGAUAUCAGAUUAGGUUGUUGGUGAGGUAAAAGCUCACCAAGCCUGCGAUCUGUAGCUGGUCUGAGAGGACGACCAGCCACACUGGAACUGAGACACGGUCCAGACUCCUACGGGAGGCAGCAGUGGGGAAUUUUGGACAAUGGACGCAAGUCUGAUCCAGCAAUGCCGCGUGCAGGACGAAGGCCUUCGGGUUGUAAACUGCUUUUGUACAGAACGAAAAGUCUUUAAUAACACUAGAGGCUCAUGACGGUACUGUAAGAAUAAGCACCGGCUAAC
This 477-nucleotide ribosomal RNA is filed under the name uncultured bacterium. RNAcentral describes it as "bacterial SSU rRNA". It matches the Rfam family "Bacterial small subunit ribosomal RNA", at positions 30 to 501 of the family's 1533-position model. The record is from RNAcentral.